CAAGAAAUAGUUUAUUAAAAAUAUUAAUCUUGGAGAUUAAUGAUAUAAAUAUUUUAUUUUUUUGU
RNAcentral lists this transfer RNA (65 nucleotides) under Eustenogaster scitula. Its description in RNAcentral is "tRNA-Pro". The record is from RNAcentral. Lineage: Eukaryota; Metazoa; Arthropoda; Insecta; Hymenoptera; Vespidae.